This 340-nucleotide ribosomal RNA is filed under the name uncultured Ferrimicrobium sp. Its description in RNAcentral is "bacterial SSU rRNA". It matches the Rfam family "Bacterial small subunit ribosomal RNA", at positions 544 to 879 of the family's 1533-position model. Lineage: Bacteria; Bacillati; Actinomycetota; Acidimicrobiia; Acidimicrobiales; Acidimicrobiaceae. The record is from RNAcentral.
UCCGGAUUUAUUGGGCGUAAAGAGCUCGUAGGCGGCUUGGCAAGUCGGAUGUGAAACCCCCAGGCUUAACCUGGGGCCGCCAUUCGAUACUGCUAUGGCUUGAGUUCGGUAGGGGAUUGUGGAAUUCCCGGUGUAGCGGUGAAAUGCGCAGAUAUCGGGAGGAACACCAAUGGCGAAGGCAGCAAUCUGGGCCGACACUGACGCUGAGGAGCGAAAGCGUGGGGAGCAAACAGGAUUAGAUACCCUGGUAGUCCACGCCCUAAACGUUGGGCACUAGGUGUGGGACCUACUUCGACGGGUUCCGUGCCGUAGCUAACGCAUUAAGUGCCCCGCCUGGGGA